RNAcentral lists this ribosomal RNA (916 nucleotides) under Nagrajchalara ellipsoidea. RNAcentral's name for it is "partial large subunit ribosomal RNA". It matches the Rfam family "Eukaryotic large subunit ribosomal RNA", at positions 35 to 974 of the family's 3401-position model. Lineage: Eukaryota; Fungi; Ascomycota; Leotiomycetes; Helotiales. The record is from RNAcentral.
UUAGCAUAUCAAUAAGCGGAGGAAAAGAAACCAACAGGGAUUACCUCAGUAACGGCGAGUGAAGCGGUAAUAGCUCAAAUUUGAAAUCUGGCUUCGGUCCGAGUUGUAAUUUGUAGAAGAUGCUUCGGGUGUGGCUCCGGUCUAAGUUCCUUGGAACAGGACGUCAUAGAGGGUGAGAAUCCCGUAUGUGACUGGGUGCCUUCGCCUAUGUGAAGCUCUUUCGACGAGUCGAGUUGUUUGGGAAUGCAGCUCAAAAUGGGUGGUAUAUUUCAUCUAAAGCUAAAUAUUGGCCAGAGACCGAUAGCGCACAAGUAGAGUGAUCGAAAGAUGAAAAGCACUUUGGAAAGAGAGUUAAACAGUACGUGAAAUUGUUGAAAGGGAAGCGUUUGCAACCAGACUUGCACGUUGCCGAUCAUCCGGUGUUCUCACCGGUGCACUCGGUUUCGUUCAGGCCAGCAUCGGUUUAGGUGGUUGGAUAAAGGCCUUGGGAAUGUAGCUUCUUUCGGGGAGUGUUAUAGCCCUCGGUGCAAUGCAGCCUACCUGGACCGAGGACCGCGCUUCGGCUAGGAUGCUGGCGUAAUGGUUGUAAACGACCCGUCUUGAAACACGGACCAAGGAGUCUAACAUCUAUGCGAGUAUUUGGGUGUUAAACCCAUAUGCGUAAUUAACGUGAACGGAGGUAAGAGCCCUUAAGGGUGCAUUAUCGACCGGUCCUGAUGUCUUCGGAAGGAUCUGAGUAAGAGCAUAGCUGUUGGGACCCGAAAGAUGGUGAACUAUGCCUGAAUAGGGUGAAGCCAGAGGAAACUCUGGUGGAGGCUCGCAGCGGUUCUGACGUGCAAAUCGAUCGUCAAAUUUGGGUAUAGGGGCGAAAGACUAAUCGAACCAUCUAGUAGCUGGUUCCUGCCGAGUCUCCCUC